GUGGUGAGGGGUCCGGGCCGGAUGGCGCGCCUUAGAGAGGAUGCUGUUCGUGCUGCUUUCCGUGCCGUGUUUUCUGAAAGCUUAAAUACAGACCAGAAGAGGAGUUUGGGGCUUGACACCUGACAUCUUAACACCAGUUCCUGUUUCUUGAGGAAGGAAGAGGUAAAAUAAAUCAGCAUUUACUGUGUCCUUCUCCAUCCCCGGAAGUCUUCAUGAAGACCCUCUCAGCUUCUACUUGAACGUGAAUAUGAGCAACUGAUCAUCUGUUCUGCAGUCAGCCCCUGGCCUGAUUCUGACUCAUGGUAUUGACCUUCUCCAUCAUCACCUUCCACAAAUUUGAUUCCUAUCUAUUCUGCCUGGAAUGGUUCACGAGUAUAGUCACCAUUUAUGUUCCUGACGAAAGCAGGUGAAGGCAUUCGUGGAGAGAGGCGAUUUCCAUGCGUGCAGCAAAGUGUGUGCUGAGAUGAUGAGUCGCUGGAGACCGGGGUGGACUCUUCAGACCCAGGAUAGGCCUCUGGCAGGCACUCUAUCAGGCACUCCAAGCUGUGAAGUGACUCAGGGAGAGAAGGAAGAGAUUUCAGAGAAUGAACACAUACAGAGAGAGAGGCAAGAGAUGCUGAGUGAGGAUGUCUUGCGUACUGAUAUCCUGAGGAAAGUGGGAAAAUUGGACCCUGGCCUGCUCUGCCAAUGCCGUGAAGCAGUCCGCACCAGGGGCUCCCUUGUGCCUGCGUAGCCUUUCCCAGGGUGUGCUCAAAUCCUGUGGCCACUAGGUGUCCUAGGUCACAAUGGAGGACCCU
Molecule: long non-coding RNA, 797 nt
Organism: Loxodonta africana (African savanna elephant)
Lineage: Eukaryota; Metazoa; Chordata; Mammalia; Proboscidea; Elephantidae
Exons: 5
Source: RefSeq, a predicted model, not a curated record